RNAcentral lists this ribosomal RNA (468 nucleotides) under uncultured bacterium. Its description in RNAcentral is "partial 16S ribosomal RNA". It matches the Rfam family "Bacterial small subunit ribosomal RNA", at positions 28 to 507 of the family's 1533-position model. The record is from RNAcentral.
GACGAACGCUGGCGGCGUGCUUAACACAUGCAAGUCGAACGGAAAGGCCCUGCUUUUGUGGGGUUCUCGAGUGGCGAACGGGUGAGUAACACGUGAGUAACCUGCCCUUGACUUUGUGAGAACUUCAGGAAACUGGGGCUAAUACCGGAUAGGAGAUCCUGCUGCAUGGUGUGGGUUGGAGAGUUUCGGCGGUUCGGGAUGGAUUCGCGGCUUAUCAGCUUGUUUGUGGGGUAGUGGCGUACCAAGGCUUUGACGGAUAGCCGGCCUGAGAGGGUGAACGGGCACAUUGGGACUGAGGUAGGGAGCAGAAUCCUACGGGAGGCAGCGGUGGGGAAUAUUGCACAACGGGCCGAAGCCUGAUGCAGCAGUGCCGCGUGCGGGAUGAUCGCCUUCGGGUUGUAAACCGAUUUCGCAUGUGACGAAGAGUGAGUGACGGUAAUGGGUAAAGAAGCACCGGCUAACUACGUG